GCCAAACCAACCUGACCUCCUGCUCUGCUCUCUCCAUCACCCGCUCGCUCGUCGAGAUCAAAGGUGGCCGCGGCGGCUGAGCGGACGCGUGCGGGAGGAGCAGUUCCGUCCAGCCAUGAGAUCUGCGCCCGCCCGCCUCCCUCUGCCAAUUCGGUGCCUCCCAGCAACAGAGAGCGAGAGAGAUUUAGUAACUGACCAUCAUGCCGAGGGAUGCAAGUAGCAACGGCACCAAGGUGCCCGUGACGGCGAGUGGGAUGAGAAAGGGGCUACAGAGGCAUCGGAGUUGGAGGCGUAGUGGCUGGGAAAAGAGCCAGCGGGAGACAGGGAGGCUCUCCGAAGGACACGACUGGCAGCGCGGUCGCGUGUGAGGCGGCCGGCUACAGGGGCAUGCAUGCGGCGCUCGAGCACUGGCGACGCCAUGGUCUUCCGGCGAGGCGGGAAGAGCACAUACAUGAAGGGCCCGGGGGGCAAGCUGCCCGGUGGAGAGGCGAGGCGCAAAGGAGGUGGUCGUCGCCGGCGGCGGGGCCUGAUGCGCGCGCUUGCCUGCAGCCAAUGCAGACAGACGUAGCGGCCGUCCAUGGCAGCGAGCGGCUCUGGGGGUGGUGACGGGGUUGGGUGGUUCAAGCGGUCGCUUCUGCAGCUACAUGGGAUUUCUUCAUGACCAUCAGCAGAGAACACAUAUGAACUUCUCCUGAGAUUGUGACUCAGCUACAUGGUAAUCUACUGGUAAAUUAUAAUUUUGGGGGAUUCUGCAUUGCGACUGAAUGAAAACUGACAGUGAAUGGAUAUGCGCUUAAAAGGCUGUAAAAACUGAGUGUCAGCAUCAAUGUAGACGUCCAGGAGUGAUUUAGUAGGAUGUCGAACCUAAACUACGGAAAACAAGCAUCCGAUGGAGAAGUGUUAUUCUGAAAAAUGGGUUCAUGACUUCAUAUGCUAAAUUGAAACCAUGCAUAUUCAAAUAGCAGGAUUAGAGGUUUUUGUAUUCAGAAUCUGGAGUUUGUCCCGCAUUGCAUCAUCAAGUAAAAGACUGUAGUUUGUACUCCUCAUGUCUGUUGCACUUGCAGUGUCAGAGUUGGUAGCCAUCCCCUGGACAGGCCGCCAUGUAUAGGGCGUGUUGGCGUGCUUGUGCAGACAAUACGCGGAUGUUAGCUGCGAGGUGGAGAAGGAAGACGCCAUGGAUGGAUUUUGGUAGCUCUGAUGAAAUCAGUUUUAACUUAGUAAGUCAUAUGCUGAUAUUCAUGUGACUGUGAUCUCAAAAAUAAAAGUUCAUAGGAAAGGAACAGAAACCUUCCCUAAACAUAGAGUUGUGUUGUACCUGUUCUGAGAAAGGUUUGUAUAGUAUGAAAAUAUGUUUCGAGAUGAAACAAAUUAUGAUUAUUAGUCAUGGCAGUUGUAGGAACAGCUAGAGUCAACUAGGUGUUGUAAUGCUGGACUAAGGACGGACCUUGCUCGGAGAAAUCAAAAAAUUUGCGGCCCUCCAUGGGAUAAUA
Long non-coding RNA from Aegilops tauschii subsp. strangulata, 1490 nucleotides. RefSeq lists it as uncharacterized. The record is from RefSeq and is a predicted model, not a curated record. NCBI's taxonomy places the organism in Eukaryota, Viridiplantae, Streptophyta, Magnoliopsida, Poales, Poaceae.